UGGCGGUUGGCGACACAGGUCCUGGAGCCAGACAUUCAGUCUCAGCCUCAGCCACUUCCUAGCCGGGUGACCUGGGGCAAAGUGACUUCACACCUCUGUGCCUCAGUGUCCCCGUCUGCACAAUGGAAUACUCGUAGUAAUGACCUCAGAGGGUUAUUGGGAGGCUUACGCCAAGGCAAGCAGUUCGACACCGACACCCUCAUCUCUGCAGCCUGCUACAGAAGCCUCACUUUCCCUCUAAUUCAAGAGAAGGGCAGAUGGUCUGUCUCCAUCAAACCACAGGACCUGAGCUGGAGGAGCUGCUACCUGGGGUAUCAGCAGCCUCAUAACGAGGAGAAAGCAAGAUGUUGGAGUGAUACUCAAAGAUUCUGCUCAAAAGUCUGACACAUCAUUUCCAUUCACGUUGCAUUGACCAAAAGAAGUUAUAUGUCCAAAUCUGAUGUCAAGAGUGCAGGAAAUAUAAUUCGAGUACACGGACAGGCCUGAUAGACAAGGGUAGCAAAUAUUUUGGCCAUGCAGAAUCUACCAGAAUCCAUGAAGCAAAAACAGGAGGCAGUCAAAGAAGAAAAGAAGAGGGUUUAUAAAUGAUCAAUAUGGUAACAUAAACAUUAAAUAAAUGGUUAGAACGAUGAAGUUGACAGCAAGUAGACAAAAAGAGAAAUGAAUGCAAAAUAGAAACAAUUAGAAUGCUCUAAGAGGCCAAGUAUGCGAAUAAAAGGAGUGCCAGAACGAAAAGAACAGAGACAAGAGAAUAAGAAACUGUUAAUGAAAUAGUUCAAUUGCAUUUCUCCGAAUAGAAAAAUAUAAAUUUCUGAAUUGAGAGGGCAUUUCAGGUAUCCAGCACAAUAGAUGCAAAAAGACCAAUAACAAGGCGUAUCUUUGUGA
Molecule: long non-coding RNA, 885 nt
Organism: Hipposideros armiger (great roundleaf bat)
Lineage: Eukaryota; Metazoa; Chordata; Mammalia; Chiroptera; Hipposideridae
Exons: 3
Source: RefSeq, a predicted model, not a curated record